This 53-nucleotide ribosomal RNA is filed under the name Lyophyllum decastes. RNAcentral describes it as "partial 18S ribosomal RNA". Lineage: Eukaryota; Fungi; Basidiomycota; Agaricomycetes; Agaricales; Lyophyllaceae. The record is from RNAcentral.
UUUUGAAGUAAAAAAGCGUACCAAGGUUUCGGUAGGUGACCUUGCGGAAGGAU